UAAGACUCCACACAGCAAAACAUCUCUCUUUAAUGUUUGAGAACAGUUGACUGUCAUCUAGCUGAACCAGGCAAAAGAUAAAAGCGUAUGGACUCCAAGAGGGAAUUCUCCUUUUCACUGCUGGCACUGCCGUCUGACAGCAAAAGUACUUGUGUUAAAAAAAAAAAUCCGAAUGAAAUAAUGGACUGAGCAAGAUUCUUCAGAUUCAAGUCAGGUACCGUGAAACUCGUUAUCUACAAAUUUCACAUCGUGUGUCAAAAAAAAAAUCAUAACCUACAAAUUGCCAUUUUAAAAUAAAAACGUGCACGGGAUGGAUUGAGCUAUAACGACGACGACCUCCCGUGUAGAAAUACCCCACCUCCGCCAGCAGGGUUUCAAAAAGCUACAUCUCACGGGCGCGUCCGCAAGCAGAGAGAACUAUUUAGUGCAGAGCGUCUCUCUCGGUCUCCGCUGAGCUCACGGACCUGCCGGGGGAGACUGACAGGAGCUGAUGGCGGUGAUGCCAGUUAAAUACGCGAGGAGUCGGCUCAGCUCGUCACCGCCCGAGCCUGGACCGUCCGUAACACGGCAGAGCGCGAUGCGAAAUGCCGGCUCAUUGCAGCUCUGAGAUGCCGCACAGCAGCAGCAGCAGGCGGAGGGGUGGACGGGAUUUUUGUUUUUCUUUUCGUCUCCUUCUUUUCCAAAAGACAUUCCAGCACGGGAUGCCAUGGCAACCGGAGGCUCUUGCUGCCGAGGGGACGGCCGGCCAGGAAGCGGAGAGUGAUGGCGCCUGAUUGUUUCCACAGAGCGCAACAGGCCCACGGCUGACGCGGAGCCCGGCGAGUGCGGCAGCAGGCCAGGGCCGGCGGUGUGGCAGCAAAGUUCACAUUCCGCAGAGUGGGCCGGGUGGGAGAAAAAGGGGGCAUUGCUGUUUUUCUUUUUCAGGGGCCUAGUCAUACUGCGCAGGGCGCACAAGUCAGACUCAUCAGCCUUUAAACAAGAGCUGUGCGGUCGGGUCGACACCAGUUCAUCACAGCCAAGUCCAUGCAAAAAAAAAAAGAUCUGGGACGUGCGUGACGUGAUUACAGUUCAGUGGCUUCGCUGCGGAAGAGCGCCCCCGGGCGGUCACUCCUGGACUCGAGAAGACACUGACUCGACACCACGUCUUACUUGUUCAGACCGAGAUGUGUAGAGAUUUCUUAAGCCUUUUUUUAUUUCAUUGCCCUCUUAAUUAUAAUCGAACAAUAAGCGUCCAGAUGGGGCUCGUCUGCCUUGCCGCUUUUUUACACAAAACAGAAAGCCCCUUUUAAACAAUGUACAUUUCACUUGUGUGAUCAUUCCGGUGCUUUUU
Lepisosteus oculatus (spotted gar) is the source of this 1330-nucleotide non-coding RNA. Lineage: Eukaryota; Metazoa; Chordata; Actinopteri; Semionotiformes; Lepisosteidae. The record is from RefSeq and is a predicted model, not a curated record.